AGAGAGAGACAUGCGCGCAUAUCAAUAAGCGGAGGAAAAGAAACUAACAAGGAUUCCCUUAGUAACGGCGAGUGAAGCGGGAAGAGCUCAAAUUUGAAAUCUUCAAGGGUUUACCUUUACGAAUUGUAGUUUAAAGAAGUGUUUUCUGUUGAGGUUUUGGUAAAAGUUCUUUGGAAUAGGACAUCAUAGAGGGUGAGAAUCCCGUAUUUGACCAUUUACUUUCAGCUUUGUGAUACACUUUCAAAGAGUCGGAUUGUUUGGGAAUGCAGUCCAAAAUGGGUGGUAAAUUUCAUCUAAAGCUAAAUAUUGGCGAGAGACCGAUAGCGAACAAGUACCGUGAGGGAAAGAUGAAAAGAACUUUGAAAAGAGAGUUAAACAGUACGUGAAAUUGUCAAAAGGGAAGCGUUUGACACCAGUGUUGUUUUUCUGAAAAUCAAUUAAAGAACUGUUUAUGCUAAGUUGUUUAGACUUUAUCAGCUAACUGUUUAGUUUUGAGCUUUUCUUUAAUGCACUUUUCAGUUAACAAGUCAACAUCAAUUUCUUUUGCUGUAAAAAAGCUUGAGGAAGGUGGCUUGAGAUUCGUCUUAAGUGUUUAUAGCCUCUUGCCUAUGCAGUCGGAGAGAUUGAGGUCUGCAGCGUAGAUCCUUCGGGGCUAAAUGCAUUUGUGCUAAGUUAUAGCAUUUUAUAGACAACUUGUUGACUAUGAUUUGUCUUGUAGCUUACUCGCUUAUGUUAUUUUACCUACGCUUAGGAUGUUGAGCGCAUGUCUCUCUCU
RNAcentral lists this ribosomal RNA (775 nucleotides) under uncultured Neocallimastigales. RNAcentral's name for it is "partial large subunit ribosomal RNA". It matches the Rfam family "Eukaryotic large subunit ribosomal RNA", at positions 23 to 616 of the family's 3401-position model. The record is from RNAcentral. Lineage: Eukaryota; Fungi; Neocallimastigomycota; Neocallimastigomycetes; Neocallimastigales.